UACGGAGGGGGCUAGCGUUGUCCGAAGUUACUGGGCGUAAAGCGCGCGUAGGCGGGUUGGUAAGUCCGCUGUGAAAGCCCGGAGCUUAACUCCGGAGGGUCGGUGGAUACUGCCAGUCUUGAAGGUGCUAGGGGGAGAUGGAAUUACCGGUGUAGCGGUGAAAUGCGUAGAUAUCUGGAGGAACACCGGUGGCGAAGGCGGCAUCCUGGACCGGCACUGACGCUGAGGAGCGAAAGCCAGGGGAGCAAACGGG
This 253-nucleotide ribosomal RNA is filed under the name uncultured bacterium. RNAcentral's name for it is "partial 16S ribosomal RNA". It matches the Rfam family "Bacterial small subunit ribosomal RNA", at positions 524 to 776 of the family's 1533-position model. The record is from RNAcentral.